GCCAUCGUGGCGCAAUGGUAGCGCAUCACCUUCCUAACCAGGAAGUGAUAGGUGGGGGUUGCGGGUUCGAUCCCCGUCGGUGGUA
Molecule: non-coding RNA, 85 nt
Organism: Trametes gibbosa
Lineage: Eukaryota; Fungi; Basidiomycota; Agaricomycetes; Polyporales; Polyporaceae
Source: the annotation of a GenBank genome assembly